This 293-nucleotide ribosomal RNA is filed under the name uncultured bacterium. RNAcentral describes it as "partial 16S ribosomal RNA". It matches the Rfam family "Archaeal small subunit ribosomal RNA", at positions 455 to 747 of the family's 1478-position model. The record is from RNAcentral.
GUGCCAGCCGCCGCGGUAAUACCGGCAGCCCGAGUGAUGGCCGAUCUUAUUGGGCCUAAAGCGUCCGUAGCUGGCUGCGCAAGUCCGUCGGGAAAUCCACUCGCCCAACGAGUGGGCGUCCGGCGGAAACUGCACGGCUUGGGACCGGAAGGCUCGAGAGGUACGUCCGGGGUAGGAGUGAAAUCCCGUAAUCCCGAACGGACCACCGAUGGCGAAAGCACCUCGAGAAAACGGAUCCGACAGUGAGGGACGAAAGCUAGGGUCUCGAACCGGAUUAGAUACCCGUGUAGUCC